This 4224-nucleotide long non-coding RNA is filed under the name Olea europaea (common olive). RNAcentral describes it as "long non-coding RNA (OEUR_LNC015587)". Lineage: Eukaryota; Viridiplantae; Streptophyta; Magnoliopsida; Lamiales; Oleaceae. The record is from RNAcentral.
UUUUGUUUUAUUUCAAUAGGAGGGAAAAAUCGUCAUUUUAUUGAAAAAAUGGAUGAGAAUGACCUUUUUUGCAAUGAAAGGUGAAAGGUAGGGGUGAAAAUGCUAAAAAUGAAAGGUAGGGACGUUUUGCACAAUAAUAUUGAAAGGUAGGGACCUUUUCUGCUAAUUAUGCUAAAAAAUAAAAGGUAGGGACGUUUUGCACAAUAACUUUGAAAGGUAGGGACCUUUUGUGCUAAUUACCUUUUUGAUUUAACGGAGCAUUUUAACGGAGAGUUGACAGAAGGACGUUUUGCGCAAAAAAAUGUAAAGGUAAGGGUGUAAUCCACCAAAAAAUGAAAAGUAGGGACGUUUUCCACAAAAACAUCGAAAGGUAGGGAUGUUUUGUGCUAAUUACCCAAUGGAAAGAAAAGGGACUGUUGGUUUUGUGAUGAAAAAUACCACCCAGGACAUAGAUGUAAUAAACCCAAAAUUUACCUUUUGGAAGGGAUGGAAGGAGAAGAAGAGGACAGCGUGGGUGCUGAAGGAGAGGAGAAAUCCUUGGUUGUGGUUGGAACUACUAAAGGAGAGGUUGGGGAGUUGCUAGGAAUAUCCCUACAUACUAUAGCUGGAUCAUUAACCAUAAAAACCAUGAGGUUGUUUGCUGAAAUUAAUCAUCACAAAGUUCUAGUUUUGAUUGAUACAGAAAGCACUCAUAGUUUUAUAGAUCCAUAUGUAGCAAGGAAGGCUAAUCUGUCAAGGGAAGAAAGCCACUUAACAGUUUAGGUGGCUAAUGGUACCACUCUUCCUUGCCUUGGUCAAUGUAAGGCCGUCUCUCUUACGUUACAAGAUCAUAAGUUUAUGGCUAAUUUAUAUAUGUUGAAUCCUGGAGGAUGUGAUGUCGUUAUGGGGGUUGAUUGGUUAAGUGGGUUAGGAUCUAUUUUAUGGAAUUUCUUUGAUUUAACUAUGAAGUUUCAGUAUGGAGGUCAAACGGUCCAAUUGCAGGGGAUUCAGAGACCAGUGAACAAUAUUGUGGAGGAAGAUCCUACUGUUAAACCUAAGGAGGGGUCGGUGAGAGGAAUUUGGUUGCAAAUCAUGGAUGGUAAUAAUGGUAAAGACAGAACAACACAACCAGCAGAGGUGCAGAAAAUUCUAGACAGUUUUAAAGAGGUCUUUGCCAAGCCUAUUGAACUGCCACUUCCUAGGAAUUUUGAUCACAAAAUUAAAUUAUUGGAAGGUACUAAACUCAUUUGUAUACCCUACAGGCACCCUUAUUACCAAAAGGAAGAGAUAGAGAAGCUGGCAGAUGAGUUACUAAAGAAUGGAAACAUAAGAAGCAGUCAAAGUCCCUAUUAUUCUUCGGUGCUACUUGUGAGAAAAGCUGAUGGGAGUUGGAGAAUAUGUGUGGAUUAUCAUGCACUCAACAAGGAGACCAUAAAAGAUAAGUAUCUUAUUCCAAACAUUGAUGAGUUGCUUGAUAAACUAGGAGGAGCUGAGGUAUUUUCUAAAUUAGAUUUGAAAUUGGGAUAUCAUCAGAUACGCAUAAAUCUUAAUGACAUCCCUAAAACUGCCUUCCGGGCACAUGAGGGGCAUUAUGAGUUUUUAGUAAUGCCCUUUGGGCUUACUAAUGCACCAUUUACAUUUCAAGGAGUGAUGAAUGAAGUAUUUAGACCCUAUUUGAGGAAGUUUGUGCUUGUGUUUUUUGAUGAUAUCUUAGUCUACAGCAAGUCUAUGCAAGAGCAUGUAAAACAUCUUACAAGAGCCUUGGAGUUUUCACAAGCUAACCAGUUUUAUGCAAAGCUGUCAAAGUGUGUUUUUUGCAGUAAAGAGGUGGAGUACUUGGGACAUAUUAUCUCAAAGGAAGGAGUUAAAGCAUAUCCUCAAAAGCUGGUUGCAAUGCAAGAAUGGCCAACUCCUAAGAACCUUAAGGCACUAAGAGGUUUUUUAGGACUCACAGGAUAUUACAGGAAAUUUGAUAAGAGAUAUGAGCAAUAGCAGCCCCAUUAACAGCUCUUCUAAGGAAAAACUCAUUUUCUUGGAAUGAUCAAGCACAUGGAGCAUUUGAGAGACUUAAGGAGGCGAUGGUAAGGCCACAAGUGCUUAGCUUACCUAAUUUCACUAAAACAUUUUGUGGUGGAAUGUGAUGCAUCAGGGAAAGCAUUGGGAGUUGUUUUAAUGCAAGAGGGGCAACCAAUAGCAUAUUUUAGCCAGGCUUUAAAGGAGAGAGAGGAAUCUAAACCUUUCCACUUAUGAAAAGGAAUUAUUGGCACUAGUGAUGGUAGUGAGGAAAUAGAGACACUACCUGUUGGGACAGUCCUUCAAGGUACGUACUGACCAUCAGGCACUCAAAUACCUACUGGAACAAAGGGUAGGGACCUCCUCACAACAAAAUUGGCUCUCUGAAUUGCUUGGGUAUGACUUCAUAGUGGAAUAUAGAAGUGUUGAGUAAUGCAGUAGCUGAUGCCUUAUCUCGGGUACAAUACUUAGAACUCCAAGACCCAAACAGUGACCAAAUACUAACCUAAACCACAAACCAAACCACACAAAAAAAUCGAAUUAUCCAAAACCAAGCCAUCAACAUUUUACAAGCUCAAUGGAUAGAAGAGUUGAAGAAGGCUUACCUCUAGGACCCCAUGUUGCAGCAGUUGAUAAGCCACUACCAUCAUGGAGACUUGGACUUAACUCGUUACCAACUCUGAAAUAAGUUACUCUUUUACAAGGGUAGACUACAUCUCAGGUCACUUGUUCCCUUCCAGCAGUAAAUCAUGCACCAGUUCCACAGCAGUCCAUUAGGAGGCCACACAAGAGUAUUAAAAAUCCACACAAGAAUAAAAAAGGAGUUUUACUGGCCUGGUCUGCGAAAUGAUGUCAUAACACAUAUCAAGGAGUGUGAUGUAUGCUAGAGGAAUAAAGUUGAAGCCCUCCAUCCUAUGGGGUUGCUUCAACCUUUACCUAUUCCUAGCAAAAACUGGGAAGAUAUUAGCAUGAAUUUCAUUGAAGGUUUGCCCCCUCAGGAGGAAAGACAGUGAUCCUUGUGGUGGUGGAUAGGCUAAAUAAGUAUUCUCAUUUUAUGCCUAUUAAUCAUCCAUACAUAGCACUAACGGUGGCUAGAGGUUUUAUGGAUAAUAUUUUCAAGUUACACUGGUUAUCACAAACAAUUGUUAGUGAUCGAGAUCCCGUGUUUACUAGCAAUUUCUGGAAUGAACUAGUCAGGUUAUGUGGAGCAGAUUUAUUACUUAGCACAACCUAUCAUCCCCGAACGGAUGGCCAAACAAAGGCAUGAAUAAAGUGCUCGAGUGCUAUCUCCAAUGUUUUUCCAGUGACAGAUCGAAAGAUUGGGCAAAAUGGUUACCUUUAGCUAAGUAUUCCUAUAAUACCUCAGUACAUACAUCCACGAAGGUAACAUCUUUUGAAGCUGUUUAUGGUCAGCCACUACCUCGAAUGUUACCAUAUGAGGUAAGAUCUACUAAAGUGCAAGCUGUUGAUGAAGAACUUUAGACCCGAGAGUUUAUUGCUAAACUCAUCGAGGAAAACCUGUAGGAAGCCCAAUCAAAGAUGAAAUAUUUCACUGAUAAAACAAAAAGGAACCAAGAGUUUGAAAUUGGAGACUCGGUUUGAAAUUGAAAUUGAAGACUUGGUUACGGUCGUAUCGGCAAAUGACAGUAGCAAUGCGAAGGAACUUGAAGAUCGCUCCGAGAUAUUUUGGGCCUUUUAGAGUGAUCCGAAAGGUUGGGUCAAAUUGCAUAUGAGCUCGAUCUAUCUCCUGAAGCUAAGAUCUAUCCCGUGUUUCAUAUUUCGUGCCUUAAGAGAAAGCUAGGAGAAGGAAUACAAGCUUGUGCACACCUACAGCUCAUCACGCCCAAAGGCUCCUUGGAAUCUGAACCCGAGAGAAUCUUGCGAAGGAGGUUGAAAAGAAAAGGAAAUGUUGCCGGAGUUUGACUUGCGAAGGAGGUUGAAAAGAAAAGGAAAUGUUGCCGGAGUUUGGUCUUGGUACAAUUGGCUGGGGCCAGCGAGGAAUAUGCUACUUGGGAAGACCUAGAUACCCUAAGGAGGCGAUUUCAUAACAUUGAGGACAUUGUUUCCUAAGAAGGGGGUCUGUUAUGAGUCUGUCUUCAAUUGUUAAACUAUGCCGUUUUGUUGUUGACUGGGUCGUGUCAUAGGCUGUAUCUUAGUGGGUAGUUAUUUCAUUUUAUUAUGGGUCAGUUACUGUUUACUAGGUCAGUUGUUUAUUUCCGUAAGUAAUGGGCU